Pistacia vera is the source of this 2566-nucleotide RNA transcript. It is a transcript of the gene named exopolyphosphatase-like, with no coding region annotated. Lineage: Eukaryota; Viridiplantae; Streptophyta; Magnoliopsida; Sapindales; Anacardiaceae. The transcript is spliced from 10 exons. The record is from RefSeq and is a predicted model, not a curated record.
AAUAAUUUUUGUGAAAACCGCGUAUUACCCAAAAGAUCGUCUUUUUUUCAAACCCGCCAUCUCGACUAACGGUUUCUGUUGUCAGGUCAUCGUCUCCAUUGAUCAAACCCAGCAAAGCCAUGGCCACCAAUCUCCCAUCUCUCCAAACCCCACAAACCCUCUUUGCUUCCGUUGACAUGGGCACGAACUCUUUCAAGCUUCUCAUCAUUCGAGCUUAUCCCAGCGGAAAGUUCUUCACUUUGGACCGUGUUAAAGAGCCCGUGACUCUUGGUCGCGACUUUACGUCAUCUUUGCACAUCUCCAGUGAGUCAUUCUCUCGCUCAAUUGAAUCCUUACUUAAAUUUAGAACCUUGAUUGAAGCUUACAAAGUGGAGAAGGAUCAAACACGUGUUGUUGCAACUGCGGCUGCACGUGACGCUAAAAAUAAGGAACAGUUUGUUAAGAGUGUUGAGGAGAAUGUUGGGUUUGAAGUUGAUGUGUUGAGUGGUGAAGAGGAAGCUGAAUUUGUGUAUCUGGGUAUGCUUCAGUUUUUGCCGGUUUAUGAUAAGUUAGUUUUGGGGAUUGAUAUUGGAGGUGGAUCCACCGAGUUUGUUGUUGGGAAGAGAGGGAAGAUUGUGUUUUGUGAGUCUUUGAGGUUGGGGCAUGUGGGGUUAAGUGAAAAGUUUGGAACUUCUGAGGGUGAAGUUGAGAAAAUGCGGAAGUUUAUUAGGAUGGUUGUGACAGAAAGUGGGUUGGUUGAGAGAGUGAGGGAGAGUGGUUUUGAGGUGGCUGUUGGUUGUUCUGGUACUAUUAGAGCUCUUGAGAAAGCUGUUUUUAAUGGUUAUGAUCAGAGGUUUGUGGAUAAUGUGGGGGUUUUGGGGGUUUGUAAGAGGGAUUGGAGGUUGAGUAGAGAGGGAUUGAAGAGUGUUGUUGAGAGGUUGUGUUCUGGGGGAGGAGAUGGAGAGAGGGUUAGGAAAGAGAGUUUUUUUAAGAGGAGAUCAGAGUUUAUUGUUGCAGGUGCAGUGUUGUUGGAUGAGAUUUUUGAGUUACUUGGGAUCGAAGAAAUGGAGGUUUCUGGGUAUGGAUUGGCAGAGGGUGUUAUUGCUGAUAGUUUGGCUAAGAUCUUUGAUGGAUAUGAUUUGAAUGCGAAUGCUAGGUGGCGGUCUGUUGUGCGGCUUGCAAUGAGGUUUAGCGGUACAAAGAAGAUGAAAUCUGCUGCACAAUGUGCCAGCAUUGCCAAGGAUAUUUUUGACGGUUUAAGAAAAUGUGAUGAGCUUGCCAACAUUCAAGUUAAACUUGGUGUCUCUUUGGAUAACAAAGAUCUUGAAUUUCUUGAAGCUGCUUGUUUGCUUCACAAUAUAGGACUUUUCAUUAGUAAAAAGGGCUAUCAUAAGAAGUCUUGUGAAAUCAUUAUGAAUGGUGAUCAUCUUUAUGGAUACAGUACUGAGGAAAUCAAGUUAAUUGCACUGCUUACUAGAUAUCACCGGAAGAAAUUCCCCAAGUUUAGUCAUUCUUCUUUAAAGGAGUUUUCUGGAGAGGUAAUCCAGAAAUUCAAAAUGCUCUGUGCAAUACUGCGCUUAUCUGUUAUAUUACAGCAGAAUGAAUCUGUGAACCUACAGGAGAUGGAAGUUUUUCAUUCUCAUGAAGGUUUUAAGCUGGUAAUCCAGGAAGUGAGGGAUCGACCUUCUUUGCAUGGUAUAUCACUACCCACAACUGAAGACAUUGGCCCAGAACUAAGGCAAGAGUUAGAAUACUUUAACAAGGUAUUCAAGCAAGAAUUAUUGAUUAUAGUUCCAUCAUCCAGUUCAAGUAACUCAAUAGAUAAAGCUACUUCUGCAAGAGAUGUUGAUCACUUGUAAAAAUAUAUAAGCUCAUACUACUUCCUCAUAACCACUUCAAGUUUAAUAGCCUUAGAGAGGAGCUGCACUCAGCUUGUAGGAUCUUGGCUGGGAAGUGUUGUGCUCAACUUUUGACCAGUCUACAGAAGAAAUCAAACCGAUAUUCCCAGUGAGCUAAGUCAGGAGGAUGAUGAUGAUUCUACUCGGGAGAGAAGUGGGUCGAAAUCCUUUUCCGAUUGCUGCUCUUAUGUUUAGUUCCCUGUCACAUCUGUGAAUUGAGAGCACUUGCAGAAACACAGAGUAGGAGCAGACUUUUCAGGUUGCGGAUUUCUGUACAAAACUUGAAGAAGCCGAGUUUCUUGGAGGGAAAGGAGGUGCCGAUCCGGGCCAUUUUCGAUAUGUAAAAGUUGAAGCAAAAGCUAGAAAGCUGCUUAUGAGAAGUCACCUUCACAUUUCCCAGUAUGGUGGCUUAGACAGAGACCUUUCAGUGAUGCCAGCAAAUCCUUCCUAGUAAUAGUAUGAGAAAUGAGAUUGAGAUACCAACUUGUUUGAAGUUGACAACCCAGAAGUGCUUUUCCAAGUUGAAUGAAAAGAUCUUUUACUUGCCAUCCAAAUCUCAUUUUAUCAGAAGUGCUUUUUCUUCCUUUUUCCCAUCAAUAAUCCAUUGGAAUUGAGAAACUCUGUCAUGUGCUUCUCAAAAGCUGCUUUUUUUCUAGUCUAUAACUGUUUUAUUAUGCUUUUUCUCCAUU